This 253-nucleotide ribosomal RNA is filed under the name uncultured bacterium. RNAcentral's name for it is "partial 16S ribosomal RNA". It matches the Rfam family "Bacterial small subunit ribosomal RNA", at positions 524 to 776 of the family's 1533-position model. The record is from RNAcentral.
UACGUAGGGUGCAAGCGUUAAUCGGAAUUACUGGGCGUAAAGCGUGCGCAGGCGGUUUUGUAAGUCUGACGUGAAAUCCCCGGGCUUAACCUGGGAAUUGCGUUGGAGACUGUAAGGCUGGAGUCUGGCAGAGGGGGGUAGAAUUCCACGUGUAGCAGUGAAAUGCGUAGAGAUGUGGAGGAACACCGAUGGCGAAGGCAGCCCCCUGGGUCAAGACUGACGCUCAUGCACGAAAGCGUGGGGAGCAAACAGG